GGAGAGAUGGCUGAGCUGGUCGAAGGCGCACGAUUGGAAAUCGUGUAGGCCCCAUAAAGGUCUCGGGGGUUCGAAUCCCCCUCUCUCCGCCA
This 92-nucleotide transfer RNA is filed under the name Ruminococcaceae bacterium OttesenSCG-928-N02. RNAcentral describes it as "tRNA-Ser". It matches the Rfam family "tRNA". From Rfam's summary of the family: Transfer RNA (tRNA) molecules are approximately 80 nucleotides in length. Lineage: Bacteria; Bacillati; Bacillota; Clostridia; Eubacteriales; Oscillospiraceae. The record is from RNAcentral.